CUGCGGAGGGUGCGCGGGUUCCCCAGCAGUGCUGGCCCACCGGUGCUGCGCUCGAUUUCUCGCCUGGCCUUAGCUGCCUCCCCGCGGGGCGGGGCUCGGGACCUACAGCGGGCCAUGCCUGAGUCUCCUCCCCACCCCGCCGUGGGCUCCUGCGCGGCCUGAGCCUCCCCGACGAGCACCACCCCCUGCUCCAGGGCGCCUGGUCCCAUCAACCGCCCAAGGGCUGAGGGGUGCCGGCACACGGUGGGGGACUGGCAGGCAGCUCCACCUGCGGCCGUGGUGCGGGAUCCACUGGAUGAAGCCAGCUGGGCUCCGGAGUCUAGUGGGCAUUUGGAGAACCUUUAUGUCUAGCUAAGGGAUCGUAAAUACACCAAUCAGCACUCUGUAUCUAGCUCAAGGUUCCUAAACACACCAAUCAGCACCCUGUGUCUAGCUCAGGGUUUGUAAAUACACCAAUCAACACUCUUAUCUAGCUAAUCUAGUGGGGAGGUGGAGCACUUUUGUGUCUAGCUCAGGGAUUGUAAAUGCACCAAUCAGCAUCCUGUCAAAACGGACCAAUCAGCUCUCAGUGAAACAGACCAAUUGGCUCUCUGUAAAAUGGACCAAUCAGCAGGAUGUGGGUGGGGCCAGAUAAGAAUAAAAGCAGGCUGCCUGAGGUUGCGGUGGUAACAUGUUUCGGCGUCCUUCCACACUGUCGCGGCUUAUGUUGUUUUGCUGUUUGGGUUUGCACUGUCUUUUUGAGCUGUAACACAGCAAAGGUUUGCAGUUUCGCUCCUGAAAUCAUCGAGACCACAAACCCACCGGGAAGAACGAACAACUCCAGACGCACCGCUUUAAGAGCUGUAAUACUCGUUAGGAAGGUGUGCAGCUUGACUCCUGAGUCAGCGAGACCAUGAACCCAUCAGAAGGAAAAAACUCCGAACAUCAGAAGGAACAAGUUUCAGACACGCCACCUUUAAGAACUGUGAUACUCACCGCGAGGGCCCGCGGCUUCAUUCUUGAAGUCCGUGAGACCAAGAACCUACCAAUUCCGAAUACGUUGGGUUCAAGUGGUUCUCCUGCCUCAGACUCCCGAAUACCUGGGACUACAGGCACCCACCACGCCCGGGUAAUUGUAUGACAAUGGAGAGGUGAUUACUGCGCUGAAAAUCAGUUUCCUGAAGUGAAAAAGGGAAUCAAGUUACGUCACAGAGCCUGGUGUGAGCGGCGCUCUGUCAACACCAGCUCUUCAUGGGUUGUGGUUUCCUCCAGUUCCUGGAUGUGUGGAGUUCAUCCUCCACUGACUGGCGCCCCGGUUGACAAUGAGGUCUGGAAAUUGGCAACUGAUGAAGGGAAGUGUAUCAGUCCGUUUUCAUGCUGCUGAUAAAGACACACCCGAGACUGGGAAGAAAAAGAGGUUUAAUGGACUUACACUUCGACAUGGCUGGGGAGGCCUCACAAUCGUGGUAGAAGGCAAGGAGGAGCAAGUCACAUCUUACGUGGAUGGUGGUGGGCAAAAGAGAGAGAGCUUGUGCAGGGGAACUCCUCUUUUUAAAAGUAUCAGAUCUCGUGAGAUUUAUUCACUAUUAUGACAACAGCAGAAGACAGACCUGCCCCCAUGAUUCAAUUACCUCCCACUGAGUGCCUCCCUCAACAUGUGGGAAUUACGAGUUAUACUUCAAGAUGAUUUGGGUGGGGACACACAGCCAAACCAUAUUAGGGAGCAGGAAAAAGAAACAAAAACAGCAACUAAUAACUCCCAAGACCACAGCUUCGCUCCUGUCUAGAGCUUUGCUACUUAGCCACAGGAACACGGGUGAUCAUACCUCAACAGAAGUCUGCCAGCAUUCAUUACGACCAGUGCUUAAUCUCAUCUGACAAUAUCAAUGUCAAAAUCAGAGCUUGGAGCUGGCGGUGUUUCAGCAGAGGAGUCUUUGGAGCUUCCACGAACUGGUUCAAUAAACAAUCUUGCUGUGAAACACAGAGCUUGGUAUUUAGAAGGGUUUUAGCUGGCAUAUCCACAAAGCUGCAGCAUCCUGUCCACUGCUAAUUCCACUGUGAAAUGUUGAAAUACAGCUCUUAGCUCCGAGAAAGCAUGUAGGCUUCUAUUUGCAUGCAAAUCAUUGCCAUUCAUGUGUGAACUACAGCAGGUAACAGCUCUGCCAGAUGGAAUAAUUUGGGGUAAGGCCAUCCUCUUUGUUAAAGGCCACAGGUAUCCAUGCAUGCUGCAGUGUAGCUCAUUCCUACUUUCCACGUCACCCCCUGGGGAAUAAUCAUUUUAAUGAUGGGCCUCAAGGAAAGGAAACGCCAUUCUACCCUGUCAUCAUUUAGUAAACAAAAUGGUGCCAAUUAGUGUAAUGCUGACCUAAUGUAAUAUUUGAUGCAAUUAGUAAAUUGAGAGGGAUAAAAAGGAACAUGGUAAAUUGAUAGAUCAAGAAAACUCCCUUGGAUUUUGAAAAAGUACAGAUUGCAUGCAUGUUUCAAGGAAAACCACUGUGGUCUCACCCCAGGUGGCAGUGCCUUGUAGUGGUUAGGAGUGUGUGUCUCUAGAAUCGGAAUGCUUGUGUCUCAAUCGCAGCUCUACCUCUUACUAACCAGAAGACUUUGAAUAAAACUCACACUUCCUAAGUGUCAACUUCAUCAUCUGUAAAGUGAAGAUAGUAGUAGACAAUUGAACUUAAUCCUCUCCUGGUCAUAUGAGGUAGGUCUGAUUUAAGUAGUUGAGCAGCCUGCCUGAUACAUGUAAAGCUUAACAAUAACUAUAAAUAAUCAUAAUUACAAUGAAUAAAAUAGCCAUAGAAGCUAGUUGCAUUAAAUUUAUUUGUAAUAAAUGUAGUAGCUAAUGCUGUACUUGAUCAAUUCACAGAGCUGAUUUCUCCAAUAAAUAGGAAGCUCCUAAGUAUAGAGACCAUGUCUUCUCUUCUUGUCAUCAGUGGUUUGCUCACCAUCUAACACUUAGGAUGUAUUCAACAAAUGGUUAUUAAAUGCACAGGUUUUAAAAUUAGUAGCAUUUUUUGUGUUAUUUAUUCCUUUACCUCCUCCUUCUUCAUAUCUCUUUCUCCUCUGUCAUCAUCAUCAUCAUCAUCAUUUUUUAUCCUCUCUAUUUCCAAAGACAUGGGGAUAAGAUUUGUCCCAGCAGGAUUCAUGCUGGUUACAUGGAAAGCAACACUGUUGAUAUUCAAAUGUCCCCUAAGGCUACCUACCUCCUUAUGAAUCUUUGGUAUCUUUCGUUUGAAUCUCCAGGCAUACUCUUUAUCUUUUCCCAAGCCUGCUCUAUGCAUUAAUUUUAUGGACUCCAUUAAUUAGUUUGCUUAUCUUUUAGUUUCCUGUUGGAUUAAGCCAGUGAGAACCCAGAAGGGUAAGGAGAGAGUUAGGGCAGGUUUCUGUCUUCUGGGUCUAACUGUUUGCCUUUGUUUUUCUCUCUGUGGCUACAGCUUCCACUAGGCAACUUUCUCUUAUAGCUUUAGUGUUCCUCUUUGGAUUCUGGUAUGUACUUCUUUUCCUUGCCAUUCCCUUAUUGGUUUUCCAUCACCCUGCCCACUCUUUAGUAAAUGUCCCUUUCAUUAGUUUCUCCCCUAGGUUGCUCACCUUGAGUAUGUCAUCUGUUACCCAUCAGGACCUUGACUGAUACAGGGUUCUAGAGCAUAUAAACUUCAAUGGUCUGCCACCAAGUCUGUGUGAUAUCUAGUUCCCACUUGCCACGUGGCAGGACCUUAGCAGCAGAAAGGGACAUUUUCUUGCCUUUACAGUGAUCACUAAGUGACGAGAAGAAGAGCAGGUGUCUCCUACAUAAUUGCUGCAGAACCGUUGUUUCUCAGGUCCAGCUGUUUUUGUCUCUUUUAUGCUAUCUGUCUCCAAAUCUCUGAUAUGUUGCUAAUAUACUGCUUAGGCCACCUAUGAGAUAUCCAUGAGGUCCAUUAUGGUGGAUAAUUAGAUUUUAGGGUCAGAAAUCCUGAAAUCAAAGCCUUUCCCAAAUUGCCUAUCAGUCAGAACUCAAAAGGAUUCUAGGACUCAUUUAAAAAUUCAACUUUUUUUUUUUUGCCAUAGAGACAGGGAGGAGUUGCUCAACUAACAUGUUGGCAACUACAGACAGCUCUUUUGUCAUCUGUUGGAUAAGGGAGACACUUAAUCAAACACCUAAAACAAAACAUGCUUGUUAUUUACAAAGAGAUAUGUAAAAGCAAAUAUCAAAUGUUUGCACAAACUUUUUAUAAAAGGACCACAACUUGAGAACCCCAGAAUAAUGUCCAGAGAUGCCUGUGACUUCCAUUUGAAACCAUACUCACUUGGCCGGGCGUGGUGGCUCACGCCUGUAAUCCCAGCACUUUGGGAGGC
RNAcentral lists this long non-coding RNA (4314 nucleotides) under Homo sapiens (human). RNAcentral's name for it is "HSALNT0231947". Lineage: Eukaryota; Metazoa; Chordata; Mammalia; Primates; Hominidae. The record is from RNAcentral.